This 73-nucleotide transfer RNA is filed under the name Camelus bactrianus (Bactrian camel). It matches the Rfam family "tRNA". Rfam says of the family: Transfer RNA (tRNA) molecules are approximately 80 nucleotides in length. Their secondary structure includes four short double-helical elements and three loops (D, anti-codon, and T loops). Further hydrogen bonds mediate the characteristic L-shaped molecular structure. tRNAs have two regions of fundamental functional importance: the anti-codon, which is responsible for specific mRNA codon recognition, and the 3' end, to which the tRNAs corresponding amino acid is attached (by aminoacyl-tRNA synthetases). tRNAs cope with the degeneracy of the genetic code in two manners: having more than one tRNA (with a specific anti-codon) for a particular amino acid; and 'wobble' base-pairing, i.e. permitting non-standard base-pairing at the 3rd anti-codon position. Lineage: Eukaryota; Metazoa; Chordata; Mammalia; Artiodactyla; Camelidae. The record is from Rfam by way of RNAcentral. RNAcentral also lists the same sequence under 2 other names.
GAGGGUGUAGCUCAAGUGGUAGAGAAUAUGCUUAUCAUGCACAAAGUCCUGGGUUCAAUCCCCAGUACCUCCU